GACGAACGCUGGCGGCGUGCUUAACACAUGCAAGUCGAGCGGUAAGGCCCUUUCGGGGGUACACGAGCGGCGAACGGGUGAGUAACACGUGGGUGACCUGCCCUCAGCUCUGGGAUAAGCCCGGGAAACUGGGUCUAAUACUGGAUAUGACUCCACGGUGCAUGCUGUGGGGUGGAAAGCCUUGUGCGGCUGAGGAUGGGCCCGCGGCCUAUCAGCUUGUUGGUGGGGUGANGGCCUACCAAGGCGACGACGGGUAGCCGGCCUGAGAGGGCGACCGGCCACACUGGGACUGAGACACGGCCCAGACUCCUACGGGAGGCAGCAGUGGGGAAUCUUGCGCAAUGGGCGAAAGCCUGACGCAGCGACGCCGCGUGAGGGAUGACGGCCUGGUUGUAAC
Molecule: ribosomal RNA, 397 nt
Filed under: uncultured bacterium
Lineage: Bacteria
Description: bacterial SSU rRNA
Rfam family: Bacterial small subunit ribosomal RNA
Source: RNAcentral